UCUACGUUUUCAACGUUUCAAACGUUGGCGUUCGUUCUGCAAAACGUUUGCCGCUCCUGAAUUUCCUCAUCGUGCCACAAACGUACUGAGCACGGUUUAAGAUAUUAUAUCUUAAACCGUGGUACAGAGUCAUGAUAACGGCACCAGCACGAUUCUCAUUGGUCGACUUGCGAUUUCCCCCGAUAAUAAUUAACCGUUAUCGCAUAGUUUUAUCUUUUAUCAACAAAAUAUACCAACAAUUUGUUCACAAUACUGAGCAACUCGUCUUUGCAUAAUGCCUUUUUUUUUUAUUUUAUUACAGUUCAUGUAAUUUUCGUAAUAUUAAUUAAAAUAAUUAAUUACAAACAUCUAUACAAGUCAUUUAUAAAUGUAAUAGAAAGCUGAAAAUAUAAACGGACGGACGAGUUUGCAAAAUAAACAAAAACGAGUUGGGUCGGAUAGGAAUACCAAAAGGAAAGGUCAACGUCUUGUCUGCAAAUUUUCCAGGACCUUCACAGGAGAGAAUUUUUGGAAUCCGUAUAUAAAAUUGUCUAUACUGGCUGCUUUUCUGCAGUUAACAAAAUAAGAUAAGAGCAGUAUCGACCUCGGAGUCCAUUUUGUCAAAGGGCGUCUCAAAAAUAUUAGUUAAGCAUAUUUUUUUCAGCUUUAGUUUUGUAAGAAAAGCUAAUUAAUUAAAAUAAUAAAUACAAACUUUGAAUCCCAAUGGUUUAUGCUGCCAUUUAAGUAUAAUAAAUAAUAGUACAUACAUAAAAUUAUAUUAAUGGUUAUAAUUAAAAUUAUUUCUAUUGAAUCAUAACUAUUUGUAAAUUUUUGUAAAUAGUUGUAUAUUAUCUAUUGUCAAAAGACCAAAAAUAAUAUAAAAAUAAAGUAUCUAACACUAUGUUUGGAUGAUCAUUGCCAGGAAAAAAAUAAUAAAUUAUUAUAUUAGCUAUUUUUUGUAUGUUACAUUUUAUAUGAUAUUUACAUACAAAAUGUGUGUAUACAAAUUAAAUAAAUAGAAAUUCAUUGUUUUAUAUUUGUAAAUAGUAAUCUUUUAAAAAUAAACUAAAUGUAUUGUCAAUACCUAGGUACCGUAAAAUGGGAUAACUUUGAUAAUUUUAUACUGUUAUAUGACAAUUUUUAUUUUUAUUUCAUGAAUAAGUU
This is a long non-coding RNA of Acyrthosiphon pisum (pea aphid), 1143 nucleotides long. RefSeq lists it as uncharacterized. The record is from RefSeq and is a predicted model, not a curated record. NCBI's taxonomy places the organism in Eukaryota, Metazoa, Arthropoda, Insecta, Hemiptera, Aphididae. The transcript has 3 exons.